CAGUAGCCGCGGUAAUACGAGGGGGGCAAGCGUUGUUCGGAAUUAUUGGGCGUAAAGGGUGCGUAGGCGGUUUCGCAAGUCUUGUGUGAAAUCUAUGGGCUCAACCCAUAGUCUGCACAGGAAACUGCGAGGCUUGAGGAUGGGAGAGGUGAGUGGAAUUUCCGGUGUAGCGGUGAAAUGCGUAGAUAUCGGAAGGAACACCUGUGGCGAAAGCGGCUCACUGGACCAUUUCUGACGCUGAUGCACGAAAGCUAGGGGAGCAAACAGGAUUAGAUACCCGCGUAGUCCCUGUCUCUUAUAA
RNAcentral lists this ribosomal RNA (301 nucleotides) under uncultured bacterium. Its description in RNAcentral is "partial 16S ribosomal RNA". It matches the Rfam family "Bacterial small subunit ribosomal RNA", at positions 509 to 809 of the family's 1533-position model. The record is from RNAcentral.